RNAcentral lists this ribosomal RNA (253 nucleotides) under uncultured prokaryote. Its description in RNAcentral is "partial 16S ribosomal RNA". It matches the Rfam family "Bacterial small subunit ribosomal RNA", at positions 525 to 777 of the family's 1533-position model. The record is from RNAcentral.
ACGUAGGUUGCGAGCGUUGUCCGGAUUUACUGGGCGUAAAGCGCGCGCAGGUGGUCCUGAAAGUCGAGCGUGAAAGCUCCCGGCCCAACUGGGAGAGGCCGUUCGAAACUUCAGGACUUGAAGGCGGGAGAGGCAAAUGGAAUUUCCGGUGUAGCGGUAAAAUGCGUAGAUACCGGAAGGAACACCAGUGGCGAAAGCGAUUUGCUGGCCCGCCCUUGACACUCAGGCGCGAAAGCUAGGGGAGCGACCGGGA